Molecule: unclassified non-coding RNA, 3846 nt
Filed under: Hevea brasiliensis (rubber tree)
Lineage: Eukaryota; Viridiplantae; Streptophyta; Magnoliopsida; Malpighiales; Euphorbiaceae
Source: RNAcentral
AAAGAAAAUAAGAAAAGAAAAUAAACUCAUAUCAGAUUUUCAUAUGCCAUUUAAGGAAGAUUAGUACACUGUUGAACUACACUCCCAAGCAUUGCAACUGCUGAGAGGAUCCAUGAGAAAAAAAGAAUCAACCCACCAACAAUACUUGAAUGAGCCAGGGAAAAAAUCCCUCGAGGGAAAAAUUUUAAAUCAGGAACCAAUUUAGAAAAAUCCAUACCUUCAUAAAAAUUAAUUUUCCAAAAUGUUGAAGUGCCUCAAAAAUUCAGGCUCACGUUAUGUUCCAAGUAUAAUAAACCGUGACUUGAAGAACUCAAAUAAAGUGUGAUGCUUCAGCUUCGCUGAUUGGCAGAACAGCUUUCCAACAUUUGUUUCCUUGGCAUAUAAAAUUAGCCAUGACAUCUACUGAUGUAGACUUUGUCCACCAUGACUUCAUCCAUUACUUUUUCCCAGUGCAGCAGAGUCAACCACCAUUUCUGGUCAUUAUAUCAUGAGACUGCCCGGUUCUCACUUGCUUUGUAAUAAAGCAUCUUCUGUACAUAAAACAUCAUGUAGCCUUGUGCAGCCCUCACAAUAUUCUCAUUGACUUGAGUGACCCAAGCAUCAUCACACUUGUACCAUUGAUUACUUAGGCGUAAAUAGGUCACAUAGUGACCAGCAUCAAGUUUACCUGUGUGCGUGACAACAGCAAACAACUCAAACUCUGAUGACAUCUCAUUUGAAGCAUCUGGUUCGUCUCCAUCGAAUGGGAAAAUCCUAUUGCCAAAUCGAUUUCUCAAGAUGGAAGAAGAAAGAUAAGGUGUCAUGUCCAAUGAAAAAGGGAAUUGCAAAUAACGAUCAACUUUCCUUGACAUUUUCCUAAUCGAAGAAUGCUCAAAUCUUUUGAUGUGGAAACAAGAAACCAAAGGAAGCUUUCUUAUAGACAUUUGUUUGAGAGACUCCUGCCUCACCUGACAUUGUUGGCAAAAGAAUUUUUGGUCAGCCCCCAAUCUCUCAGGCCUAGUAAACCGGUCCAAACACCCCAUAAGAGUAGAUAUCCCACAGUUUUGGCCUGGAUUCAUGCUGUCCACCUCACCAUUGCAAGAAUGAUGAGUCUUUGUAGAUACUGACUUUGAAGAACCCCCUUGGUGAGGUUCUAAAUCCAGUGAGAUGUCCACACAUGGGUCGUAUGUUGUGGAUGUGAAACCACAAGCCAUACACAUCACAUCGGAUCGCAAGAUACCAGAAAAAACUCUAUGUGCAAUACAACAGUCUCCAUGGCCUGCACUUCCAAAAACUCGGUCAUCAAGAACGAUUCAUAGGAUAGCACUUAACAAACUAAAUUCAGUAAGGGAAGUGCAUAGAAGGUAAUGCAACAUCAUUUUUAGAAACACAGCACAAGAUAAGAUCCAAUUAUAAACACAACACAGCUUUUUAUUAGAAAAAUAAUAAUAAUACUAAUUUAUCAUGGAUGAAUAGCAUUUUUCAACUCCUUGACUAUAACUGUAACAAAGCCACUAGAAUUAAAAUUCCCUUUCAUCAGAAAAUUGGUAAUAGAUGUUUGUAAAAAACUUUUGACUGGAACAGCAGUGCAGUGAAUUAUCAUCUCAGCUGCUGUUAUCGGAGACUAAUAAAUUCAUCACUUCUGUAUUUUUAACUUCCAAAAUGUGCAACACAAACAAGACAGCUCAUUACAUUUUAUAUCACAUUUAACACCACUGUCUAUUUCCAACCAGCAAAAUAAAUAACUAACAACAAAUUAGAAGAGGAUAGGUAAAGCAUAUUUGCCAAAAGAUUGAAAACUAUAAGAAUGCACGGAUGGUCGAAGCUUGGAAUGAAAUAUGCUUGUAGCUGACAGUAUAUCUAGACCAAGAAUAUUACAUUAUGUCUGUCAAGAAAACAACUCAACAAGGGUCACAAAGAAAGUGUGACACAGAAGCAGUAUGAGAAUUGAAAUUUUCCAAAGCAUAAACAAGAAGCUUAUGCUGAAUGAGGACCUAAUGAACCUUCUUUGUUAUUCUGGGAUUGGGAUCAACCUUGUAAUGAAAUAAGACCCUAAGAAUCAAAGCUAGGAUUAACAUGAGUAUUAUAGGUGAGAAUCCUAUGAUUAAACCAAGUAGGCUAUGAAAAAGUCGACUUACUGGAGUAAAGCAGAUGACAUCAUCAAGUCUGCAUGUUGAUGUUGAGAAUUAGCCCUAAAUCUGGGAGCACUUGUCAACUCCUAGGGCAAUGACAGAGACCUAAACCCACACCCUGCAGUUAAAAGUUAUAACCUUGUGAAUCUUUCACAGUAUUUUGGAUCAUUUUGAUCAAAGAGAAUUACUACAAGUAGAAAAGUGAGGGUCAUUAGUGGCUUAAGAGAACUCUAGGUGAUCUUUAAGCUUUAGCACGUUGACCGCUUUCCUUUAUGCUACAUGACCUAAUAAUCACUCCUUCUGGUGCCUAAACCAAAGUGAAAUGCAGGAUGUGCUCCAAAGCCUUCUAAGGGCUCCCUCAUAAUGUUAGCCACCUAAACACUUGACUGUGGGGCUUGUGUCGAUCCUUCUCCACAUUUUCAUGGAUCCCAUCAAGCAUAGAGAUGAAAAAUUCAUGGGCAUCCUGUUGUUCGUAACUUGCCAAGUUAGACGCGUGUUGCCACCAACUGUAUAAAAACUUUGCGGGGCUAUAAGGCGUCCGAUCCCCGGAAAAAACAGCUGAAAACAUCGCAUCCAUGUCACAAGCCAAGCACAACCUCGCAUUCUUGUUCCCAUGACCAUCAGCAGUACCCACAUUCCUCUUCCCACCAGCGUUACUAUUGGAAACGCCAUUCUUCUUCUUACAAUAGUACCUGUUAUGCCGAUCGCUCAAGAAAUAAUUCCUCAACGGCGGCGUAUGAAGCAAUGCCUGAAGCACCGAGUUCAUAAAGCAAGUGUUUCCCAGGUUAUUCAAUCCUCGCAAGCCUCGCGGCAAAUCAGACCCGUUUUCCAGCGGACUCGAGCCGGUCUCCAUCAACACACGGUCCCUGAUAUCAGGAGACCAGGGCCGGUAAUCGACUCUCCGUCUUUUACGGAGAUUUUCGGGUUUUGCCGAUUGGAUUGUGGCUGAUUUGAGUGUGGCGGUUUGGGAUAAGACCACCGCGGCAUCGAAAUCCCGGUCGUAGACCUGAUCGCGGCACGCACAGCAGAAGAUCUCCGCGCGAUCAACGUCCACCGCGAUCUCAUGGCCUGGAGGCAUGGAAGUGGCAUGCGCAGCCGCGUGGGAUGGUCCGGGAGGCGCGUGGCAAGAGAUAGCCGCGCAUGCCAAGCAAGCGUAAAGCCGGGGCCGCGCAGACUCUCCGCACGCGCCGCAGCGAGGAACCUCGGAGGGGUCCCGGCGUAUAGCUGCCCGUCCGCCCGGUGGUUUCACCCGGAGACAAUCUUGGAGGGCCCGGAAGGGCUUGGAGCCGUUCCGGGCACGGAACUCGGCUAAGUGGGGACAAGGAGGAGGGAAAAUCUGGGUGUUGAACCGGUGGUGGUGGUGGUGAUGGUUGAUCUUUGAUGACAUGGGUGGAGAUUAGGGUUGUAUGGCGGUGGCUGACGGUGGAAACCCUAGAUUUGAAGAACAUAAGGUUCAUGAAUGAAGAGAUCAACGGCUAGGAUUAGACGGAGCAGAGUGUGGGAGCAUGGAGAAUAAUGAGGAUGAUCUGGUUAGUGAGGGUACCUGUUUGGUAAGAAGAGUAAUGUUUCUGUAUACUAAUGAGAUAUUGUGCUGUGGGCUCUCUUUAUUUUCUCUUCUUUUUUAAGGGCCAAUUUUUUUUGUAUUUGUUUUCUCUCAAUUCAUUUUCUUUAAAAAAAUGAGAAAUCAUAGACUUAAGAGGAAGAAGACCAAGGCAGGAAUUCCAUAAAGUGAGAC